This 518-nucleotide ribosomal RNA is filed under the name uncultured microorganism. RNAcentral describes it as "bacterial SSU rRNA". It matches the Rfam family "Bacterial small subunit ribosomal RNA", at positions 9 to 509 of the family's 1533-position model. The record is from RNAcentral.
GAGUUUGAUCCUGGCUCAGGAUGGACGCUGGCGGCGUGCCUAAUACAUGCAAGUCGAGCGAACGGACGAGAAGCUUGCUUCUCUGAUGUUAGCGGCGGACGGGUGAGUAACACGUGGAUAACCUACCUAUAAGACUGGGAUAACUUCGGGAAACCGGAGCUAAUACCGGAUAAUAUUUUGAACCGCAUGGUUCAAAAGUAAAAGACGGUCUUGCUGUCACUUAUAGAUGGAUCCGCGCUGCAUUAGCUAGUUGGUAAGGUAACGGCUUACCAAGGCAACGAUGCAUAGCCGACCUGAGAGGGUGAUCGGCCACACUGGAACUGAGACACGGUCCAGACUCCUACGGGAGGCAGCAGUAGGGAAUCUUCCGCAAUGGGCGAAAGCCUGACGGAGCAACGCCGCGUGAGUGAUGAAGGUCUUCGGAUCGUAAAACUCUGUUAUUAGGGAAGAACAUAUGUGUAAGUAACUGUGCACAUCUUGACGGUACCUAAUCAGAAAGCCACGGCUAACUACGUGCC